RNAcentral lists this ribosomal RNA (464 nucleotides) under uncultured bacterium. Its description in RNAcentral is "partial 16S ribosomal RNA". It matches the Rfam family "Bacterial small subunit ribosomal RNA", at positions 28 to 507 of the family's 1533-position model. The record is from RNAcentral.
GACGAACGCUGGCGGCGUGCUUAACACAUGCAAGUCGAACGGAAAGGCCCUGCUUGCAGGGUAUCGGGUGGGGAAAGGGUGGGGUAACAGUGGGGGGUUCGGCCUGCCACUUGGGGUUAAGCUGGGAAACCGGGUUUUAUUACGGGAUAGAACUUUCCUGGUAGUUGGGGGGGUGGAAGGAUUAUCGGUGUGGGAUGAGCCCGCGGCCUAUCAGCCUGUUGGUGGGGUAAUGGCCUACCAAGGCGUCGACGGGUAGCCGGCCUGAGAGGGUGGACGGCCACAUUGGGACUGAGAUACGGCCCAGACUCCUACGGGAGGCAGCAGUGGGGAAUAUUGCACAAUGGGCGGAAGCCUUAUGCAGCGACGCCGCGUGGGGGAUGACGGCCUUCGGGUUGUAAACCUCUUUCGACAGGGACGAAGCUUCGGUGACGGUACCUGUAUAAGAAGCACCGGCUAACUACGUG